This 530-nucleotide ribosomal RNA is filed under the name uncultured bacterium. RNAcentral describes it as "bacterial SSU rRNA". It matches the Rfam family "Bacterial small subunit ribosomal RNA", at positions 777 to 1304 of the family's 1533-position model. The record is from RNAcentral.
AAUAGAUACCCCGGUAGUCCACGCCGUAAACGAUGAGUGCUAAGUGUUAGAGGGUUUCCGCCCUUUAGUGCUGCAGCUAACGCAUUAAGCACUCCGCCUGGGGAGUACGGCCGCAAGGCUGAAACUCAAAGGAAUUGACGGGGGCCCGCACAAGCGGUGGAGCAUGUGGUUUAAUUCGAAGCAACGCGAAGAACCUUACCAGGUCUUGACAUCCUCUGCCAACCCUAGAGAUAGGGCGUUCCCCUUCGGGGGACAGAGUGACAGGUGGUGCAUGGUUGUCGUCAGCUCGUGUCGUGAGAUGUUGGGUUAAGUCCCGCAACGAGCGCAACCCUUGAUCUUAGUUGCCAGCAUUCAGUUGGGCACUCUAAGGUGACUGCCGGUGACAAACCGGAGGAAGGUGGGGAUGACGUCAAAUCAUCAUGCCCCUUAUGACCUGGGCUACACACGUGCUACAAUGGAUGGUACAAAGAGCUGCGAACCCGCGAGGGUAAGCGAAUCUCAUAAAGCCAUUCUCAGUUUCGGAUUGUAGG